GACCAGUCAGCAUCCAGCUCUCUCAGAAACACCACUGCUCUCCAGGAGGAAGAAACCUGCUCCGUAUCAACAUGAAGACUCUGCUGCUGGCCUCUGCUCUCUUUGCAGGACUCUUUGUCUCUCUGGCUGCCGUCCCUGUUCCUAUUCCUGCUCCUUAUCAUGCCUUCUGCAAAACAAUGUGGCUCUUUGCAGGACCUUGUACUGAUAUCAAGACCAUGUUAGUCACACAGAUUCUAGCCUCCAGCCUGAGUAUACGCUUGUGUCAGUCUUCCCUGGUUUUGUCAAAGCCAACCACACGUCCCCGAAGACCCCCGAAGGAGAGACCAUCAUCAUCUCAUUUUACCCCACCAUAGUGACUGGAGGCUGUCGCAUGAGUGCACUGUCCAAAUCUAAUGGAUUCACCAGUCUUUUCGAUGGUGAACAGAACUACUGCAACCUCUACAAUCUGGUGUCAGCGAGCGGCCUCAUGAAAGAACCAGGCUUCAUGCAGAUAAUCAAUGAAUGGGCUUGCAUGAGCUACAGACUUGCCACCUGUAGCUAAGCUUGCUUCACCAAAUCAUGUUGGGAUUUGAUAUAUUUGAUUUGGAAAUGGUUUUUUUUCACCUUACUUAUGCAUGCACCCUUAAGAAAAAAGACCAAUAAAAUAUAUUGCAACUGA
Gymnodraco acuticeps is the source of this 658-nucleotide long non-coding RNA. RefSeq lists it as uncharacterized. NCBI's taxonomy places the organism in Eukaryota, Metazoa, Chordata, Actinopteri, Perciformes, Bathydraconidae. The transcript is spliced from 5 exons. The record is from RefSeq and is a predicted model, not a curated record.